RNAcentral lists this long non-coding RNA (1558 nucleotides) under Homo sapiens (human). RNAcentral describes it as "non-protein coding lnc-TMEM150A-4:3". The record is from RNAcentral. Lineage: Eukaryota; Metazoa; Chordata; Mammalia; Primates; Hominidae.
AGAGACUAACGCCAAUGAUGGAGAUCUGGCUGGUGAGGAAUCAUUUGUUUUGGAGUCGGAGCCAAGACUGAAUUCCCGGGGAUUUCUGGCGCGAUCGCGUCCAAGUGUCUGGUGUGUAAGGCUCUUCAGUCUGCCCUGAAGCUCAGAGGGCUUCGACAGUACAGAUGCUAGAGGCCUCUGCGAGCAAAGGCGGCGCUGGCCCAGGGGUUCAGGUUCCUGCGAGCGUUGGCCCAUGGCGCUUCCGGAUGCGCUGUCCGGAUCCCCGCCGGACACUUCUGCCCCCGCGGCCCUCUAGUUGGUUCACCAGUUUGCGUUUGAUUCCUGCGCAUUUCUUAUGUGUUAGGCAUAAUAAUAAAGGGUGGGGCAAGCCUCCCCAACUGAGAGAGAUCUCUUUGCCGGAGAACCUGGGGCCUCAACCAGCUCAUGGGACUGUUACCUUCAGCCCGUUGCUAUCCCUAGCUUCUGUAAAACUGCUGGCUUGUACUAAGACCUUUUCAUUCCUGGCUACACAUGAAUUCCCAGAGGAGAGAAUGGGCGCGGAGGAGCUUUAGAAACACCCGUGUCUGAUACCUUCGAAGAUUCUGAUUUAACUGAUCUGUGGUGGGGCCUGGGCAAUGGCACUUGUAUAAAUUAUGCAGGUGAAGCAGGUUUAAGAACCACUGCACUCAAUGAUUUGGAUGAUAGGUACUAUUUAGCAUCUAGAACUGUUAGUCUGAUGUAUGUUUUACACGCUCGAUCAUCCCCUCAAUAGACCCAGGAGCUAAGCGUCAUUAUGCCCUUUUUACCUCAGAAGUGGCUUGCCCAAAUUUGCAGUCUGUAAGUGGUGUUGCAGACCAGCUGCAGGGCCAAGUGCUUUCCUCCAUCUUUCCCAAGAGAGGAAGACGCUAAUGCGCUCAGUAAAACUAACACGCUCUGUAAGGGGUGAAGCUCCACACAACUCAGGCUUAUUCUGGUUUCUGUCAGUAGCGCUCACUUUACCCAGCAAGGAACUGCUUAUUUUACACACUUGACCCUGAAUUCCCCUUGCCACUCACACCUGAGUUUGAACUGCAGCUAAGUAGCCCAGGCAGAGGCUGCCCUGUUUCCACAGUCUUGGUGUGGCUUUAUUUCCUUCUUCCAUGCCUUUGCCCAAUGAUCUUUGCUAUGGCCCUGAAGGCACUGCCUCCCUGGCCUAUAUGGCCCUGUAGCUUUGAAAAGCCUGAAUUCAGGCUGGACAUGGUGGCUCACGCCUGCAAUCCCAGCACUAAAGGCAAGAGAAUUGCUUGAGCCCAGGAGUUCGAGACCAGCCUCGGCAACAUAGACCCCGUCGAAAGAGGGAGGGAGAGAAGACACAGGAGAGACCCCGUCGAAAAAGGAAGGAAGGGAGGGAGGGAGAUGGGAAUACCAAGGAGUGCUUUAAGGUCCCCAUCUCUUGCUGUCACUUCCCCCAUCUGCAGUCUGAUGUAAAGCUUGAGGUAGAUAGAAUGUGGAAAGAGAAAUUGAGGAGUGGGAAGUGUUCAGAGGGGAAACCAUUUAUCUGAAGGUGAGAGCCUUAUGAAAAAUUUUUUGGGCCAGGCGC